AUGAACGCUGGCGGCGUGCCUAACACAUGCAAGUCGAACGAUGUCCCGUCUUCGGAUUGGGACAUAGUGGCGAACGGGUGAGUAACACGUUGGUGACCUGCCCCGAAGUCGGGGAUAACUCUUCGAAAGGAGGGCUAAUACCUGAUGUGUUUGCACCGUUUAAAAGGGUGCAAGUAAAGCUCCGGCGCUUCGGGAGGGGCCAGCGGCCUAUCAGCUAGUUGGUGAGGUAAUGGCUCACCAAGGCUAAGACGGGUAGGGGGCGUGAGAGCGUGAUCCCCCACAAUGGAACUGAGACACGGUCCAUACUCCUCCGGGAGGCAGCAGUGAGGAAUAUUGCACAAUGGGGGAAACCCUGAUGCAGCAACGCCGCGUGGGUGAAGAAGGCCUUCGGGUCGUAAAACCCUUUUCCAGGGGAAGAGACAGGACGGUACCCUGGGAAUAAGUCCCAGCUAACUACGU
Molecule: ribosomal RNA, 459 nt
Filed under: uncultured bacterium
Lineage: Bacteria
Description: bacterial SSU rRNA
Rfam family: Bacterial small subunit ribosomal RNA
Source: RNAcentral